AAUCCAUGCAUAUGACACUUCCUCGGUAAUUCUUUAAAUCUUUCCCAUGCUUCAUAAAAGCUUACAUCUUCUAUAUGAUUGAAUGAAGUUAAACCAUUUCAAAGUUU
Small nucleolar RNA from Hibiscus syriacus, 107 nucleotides. The record is from RefSeq and is a predicted model, not a curated record. NCBI's taxonomy places the organism in Eukaryota, Viridiplantae, Streptophyta, Magnoliopsida, Malvales, Malvaceae.